Sebastes umbrosus (honeycomb rockfish) is the source of this 130-nucleotide long non-coding RNA. RefSeq lists it as uncharacterized. The record is from RefSeq and is a predicted model, not a curated record. The transcript has 3 exons. Lineage: Eukaryota; Metazoa; Chordata; Actinopteri; Perciformes; Sebastidae.
AGACCCUCAUGGACAAAAGAGGUGACGUCCCGCCCUUCCGGUGGACCGCGAUGGGACCUCACUUCAGAAAAAAUAUGAACGGUAGUCAACGGCGAGAGAGAAAUAUUUGUUUUGAUCCCGUUUGAAUUGC